Molecule: unclassified non-coding RNA, 200 nt
Filed under: soil metagenome
Description: partial contains internal transcribed spacer 2 and large subunit ribosomal RNA
Source: RNAcentral
CAUGUUUGUUUGAGUGCCGCAAUUCUCUGCAGCAAUGCGAUUUGACCUGCGUCUUUGUUGACCGGGUUUAAACAAAGCUAGAGGAUGGUCAGUUUGGACUAGUCCGAGUGCUAAGCAUUCUUGGGUCUAGGACGGAUUGCUCAUUAAUCUAUCUUUUUUCAUUUGGCCUCAAAUCAAGCAAGACUACCCGCUGAACUUAA